RNA transcript from Solanum dulcamara, 676 nucleotides. It is a transcript of the gene named 60S ribosomal protein L13a-4-like, with no coding region annotated. NCBI's taxonomy places the organism in Eukaryota, Viridiplantae, Streptophyta, Magnoliopsida, Solanales, Solanaceae. The record is from RefSeq and is a predicted model, not a curated record. The transcript has a single exon.
AUGGUGUCAGGUUCAGGAACCUCCGCAAGGAGUAUAGUGGUUGAUGCUCGUCACCAUAUACUUGGUAGGCUUUCAUCAAUUUUGGCCAAGAAACUGCUUUAUGGACAGAAAGUUGUUGUUGUUAGGUGAAGAGAUUUGUCUUUCUGGUGGACUCGUUCGUCAGAAAAUGAAGUAUCUUAGGUUCCUUCGUAAUAGGAUGAAUACUAAGCCUUCUCAUGGACCUAUUCACUUUCGUGCUCCUUCUAAGAUCCUCAAGAGAACCAUCCGUGGGAUGAUUCCCCACAAAACUAAGCGUGGAGCAGCUGCUCUUGACCGCUUGAAGGUUUAUGAAGGUGUUCCACCUUCAUAUGACAAAAUCAAGAGGAUGGUCAUCCCUGAUGCCCUCAAGGUGUUGAGACUCCAAGCAGGACAUGAAUACUGUCUCUUGGGUAGGCUUUCAUUAGAGGUUGGAUGGAACCAUUAUGACACUAUCAAGGAGCUUGAGAACAAGAGAAAGUAUAGAGCCCAUGUAGCAUAUAAGAGGAGAAAGCAUUUGGCCAAACUUACGGUUAAGGCCGAGAAGGCUGCUGAGGAGAAGCUCGGUCCUCAACUUGCUGUUGUUGAACCCAUCAAAUAUUAGAGUGUAAACGUAGUUUAUAUAAGGUAAAAUUUUGUUGGAGAUUGAGAUUUCAACUUA